Molecule: non-coding RNA, 70 nt
Organism: Caenorhabditis elegans
Lineage: Eukaryota; Metazoa; Nematoda; Chromadorea; Rhabditida; Rhabditidae
Source: Ensembl
UUUCUCGUUGAAGUUUAUAACUGAAGGUAAUUCCAUAUUGCUUUUGUUUUUAACAAAUACUUUUGGUGAC